Molecule: long non-coding RNA, 916 nt
Organism: Carassius auratus (goldfish)
Lineage: Eukaryota; Metazoa; Chordata; Actinopteri; Cypriniformes; Cyprinidae
Exons: 4
Source: RefSeq, a predicted model, not a curated record
AGCAAAUGUUCAUUUUUGUGUGAAAUAUCCCUUUAAAGUUAGCCAUUUGCUCAAACCAUUAACCAUAAGAGUUAUUUUGAGCCACACGCUAUUGAGUUUAGCGUCCAAAUAAUGAUCUACGUAAGCUAAAUAAUGUCCUUUUGCUUUACUUUUCAUAAAAUGUCUUACUUGAUGUUUGCAUUUGUUUGGCCUUUAUUAGUUCUCAGCGCUCACCUCUCAGAAAGUGGCUCCAGACCGUUCAAGCACGACAGCCGUAAUGAACUUAAUAACCGUGAAAUGAAGUUUUGUGAUCUAUGGAGAGGAGUAGAGUUUCUAUCAGAUCUGUGCCAGAUUUUGACAGUGUAAAUGUAGCCUGUUCUCAGAUCUCGGGCCCUCGGCUCCACAGAUGAAUCGUGGGCUGUGAUCUUCGUCCCUGGCAGGGCUUCAGCUCGCCCUCAUGUCUGCCAUCUGAUUCUACACCUGCCAAACAACAUGACCUCAUCGGCACGGCACGUUUCCCAGUUACACCUGGACACAGAGAAAGACAUUGACAAAGGCAUGAAGAGAAGCAAAAAAGAAUGAAAUCCGGGACCUGAAAAUUAUUUAUCUUCUUUUGUCAGCCCAUCAGAGAGAUCGUCGUUAGCCCUGUUUAAGCAUUUCAACAUCGGCUGGAUUGGCUCUUGAUUUGACUCUGAAGAGGCUGAGAGUGACAGAGAUGUGUGAAUGUCCCAGCAGAGGAUUCGAUCUGCACCGCAGGCCAAGUGUGCUGAAAUACACCCUUUAAUCUGCCAAUUAUCACUUGAUACAGCGAGUGCUUUUGAAGAAGAACUAAUCGUUGGAUUUGCCAAAGUUUGCCAUCAGGUUAGUGAUAUCAGUGUUCUAGAAUAUAUUCUGUUUGGGUUUUGUCUUUGUGUUUUCUGUGCAAGUAUUCACAAAU